RNAcentral lists this ribosomal RNA (612 nucleotides) under Escherichia coli. RNAcentral describes it as "partial 23S ribosomal RNA". It matches the Rfam family "Bacterial large subunit ribosomal RNA", at positions 2331 to 2925 of the family's 2925-position model. The record is from RNAcentral. Lineage: Bacteria; Pseudomonadati; Pseudomonadota; Gammaproteobacteria; Enterobacterales; Enterobacteriaceae.
UCGGACAUCAGGAGGUUAGUGCAAUGGCAUAAGCCAGCUUGACUGCGAGCGUGACGGCGCGAGCAGGUGCGAAAGCAGGUCAUAGUGAUCCGGUGGUUCUGAAUGGAAGGGCCAUCGCUCAACGGAUAAAAGGUACUCCGGGGAUAACAGGCUGAUACCGCCCAAGAGUUCAUAUCGACGGCGGUGUUUGGCACCUCGAUGUCGGCUCAUCACAUCCUGGGGCUGAAGUAGGUCCCAAGGGUAUGGCUGUUCGCCAUUUAAAGUGGUACGCGAGCUGGGUUUAGAACGUCGUGAGACAGUUCGGUCCCUAUCUGCCGUGGGCGCUGGAGAACUGAGGGGGGCUGCUCCUAGUACGAGAGGACCGGAGUGGACGCAUCACUGGUGUUCGGGUUGUCAUGCCAAUGGCACUGCCCGGUAGCUAAAUGCGGAAGAGAUAAGUGCUGAAAGCAUCUAAGCACGAAACUUGCCCCGAGAUGAGUUCUCCCUGAGACUUAGAGUCUCCUGAAGGAACGUUGAAGACGACGACGUUGAUAGGCCGGGUGUGUAAGCGCAGCGAUGCGUUGAGCUAACCGGUACUAAUGAACCGUGAGGCUUAACCUUACAACGCCGAAG